GGCCAGACUCCUACGGGAGGCAGCAGUGGGGAAUAUUGCACAAUGGGGGAAACCCUGAUGCAGCGACGCCGCGUGAGUGAAGAAGUAUUUCGGUAUGUAAAGCUCUAUCAGCAGGGAAGAAAAUGACGGUACCUGACUAAGAAGCCCCGGCUAACUACGUGCCAGCAGCCGCGGUAAUACGUAGGGGGCAAGCGUUAUCCGGAUUUACUGGGUGUAAAGGGAGCGUAGACGGCAUGGCAAGUCAGAUGUGAAAGCCCGGGGCUCAACCCCGGGACUGCAUUUGAAACUGUCAGGCUGGAGUGCAGGAGAGGUAAGUGGAAUUCCUAGUGUAGCGGUGAAAUGCGUAGAUAUUAGGAGGAACACCAGUGGCGAAGGCGGCUUACUGGACUGUAACUGACGUUGAGGCUCGAAAGCGUGGGGAGCAAACAGGAUUAGAUACCCGCGUAA
Molecule: ribosomal RNA, 447 nt
Filed under: uncultured bacterium
Lineage: Bacteria
Description: bacterial SSU rRNA
Rfam family: Bacterial small subunit ribosomal RNA
Source: RNAcentral